UCUCCGUUAUCUAGAACA
This 18-nucleotide non-coding RNA is filed under the name Arabidopsis thaliana (thale cress). Lineage: Eukaryota; Viridiplantae; Streptophyta; Magnoliopsida; Brassicales; Brassicaceae. The record is from RNAcentral.